Styela clava is the source of this 615-nucleotide long non-coding RNA. RefSeq lists it as uncharacterized. Lineage: Eukaryota; Metazoa; Chordata; Ascidiacea; Stolidobranchia; Styelidae. The record is from RefSeq and is a predicted model, not a curated record.
CAGAACAGUUUCAUUUGAAAAAGAGCAAUUUUAGGCAAUUCACAUUUAACUGUCAUAAAAACACUAGAUUUUCUUUUAACUUAUGACACUAUAAAUAGAAAAUUAAUCAAAACAACAUUUAUCCACCUUAUUCUGCAUAUUUACCAAAACCAAUUCUAUAAAUUUUGUUUAAUUUCUCUUUUGAAUAAGACCGAAUUUGAACAUAUUACAUAUAAUGAUGGUGGGGAAUGAAUACAAUCCUUUUUAACAGUGUUUUCUUUUUAAAAACUGAAGAAUCUGAUUAUGCAGGCAUGAACAAAUUGUUUGCCCCAACUCUGAACUAUGAAAAUGUCAAUGUCUAAGGCUUCAUAAUAUUUGAGAUUCUUACUAACAUGUUAUUUCAAGGAAGAAGAAUUUGAGGUAGCCUACCUCUUCCAUCUCAUCUACAAAGUUUGGUAAUACUGGAAAAGUCUGUAUCGAUUGAUUGCCCACAGAUUUUUGUCCAUGAACUCCAAGAGGAAAAGAAAAUAUGAAAAUUUAUAGAAAGAUAACUUGAAGUUAUGGAGAAGAAAAUACCAUGAGUUCUUCAAAGCAAAUGGAUAAUGCAAUACAAUCAGCAUGGGCAACACUAACCCG